GACACAAUGCACAUUGCACAAGAACCAACGGUUUUUUGCGAAGGACAACGGUAAUUUUUGUGAUUUUAUGCAGGAAAUAUAGGAGCUGUGGUGAUGAGAUUUUCCAACACAAAACAAAAAUACAUAGAAGCAGUAUGGUGAUCAAAUACUGGCUGAAGUCUCCAAAAACUCGGUUUACCAGCAUAGAGGAAUCCAAAAAUGUUCAAACACCAGAUCCUGGAGGAAAAUGUGAAUGCUCCAAAAAUUGAGAUUGAAUUGAGGUGCAGUAACAUAAACCAGUAUGUAGCUCAGAAAAUUGCUACUUUAAACAGGAAGAGAUUAAAGUAUUCUGGAGCACCACAAUAAGGACCUUUCUUAAUAGAUAAAUGACAUGCAUAUUAGUUAUUUUAAUAAACAAACUUCUCACAUUAUUUAUGUCUUAACUAUUCACAUUCCUUAAUUUUUCAUCAAUAUAUCAAUAGACAUAUAUUCACUGAAUCCAAUUCACUUAUAUUAAUUAUAGAUAAUUAAACAGGUAUACUCUCUUGUCUGAUGCCAGUUGCAGCUGAGUUAAAAUAUUAUAAUCCUUGCAAAUGUUAUCUUCAUCCUAAUCUGCUCUCCUAGAUUUAAAAGAGGAUUUUUUCU
Nilaparvata lugens (brown planthopper) is the source of this 624-nucleotide long non-coding RNA. RefSeq lists it as uncharacterized. The record is from RefSeq and is a predicted model, not a curated record. Lineage: Eukaryota; Metazoa; Arthropoda; Insecta; Hemiptera; Delphacidae. The transcript has 3 exons.